GGAAAAGAAGAGAAUGACAAGUACAACAAAAAUCCAGGCUCAUAACCUACAAAAAUUUGUAGAAGCAAGGGGUGAGUACCAAACCACACGGUACUCAGCAAGUAAACGGCUAAACACAAGCUAAGGGGAUGAAAUACGGGUACUCCUACCACCCCAACCGAACCUCCACAACUACAACCUGCAUAAACAUCAACCCAACCUAACAACUCACAGUUUACAUAGAACGAAACUCAACAAAAACAUAUAGACAAAUUACAUAUCCUCCACAACAACACUUUAACAAAUUACAUAUCCUCCACAACAACACUUUAACAAAUUAUAUAUCCUCAAUAACAAGCUCAGUAUUCAACAAUCACAAGUUCCGCAAAAAAGGCAAUCACUAGAUCAGCAAAACACAAUAUCAAGUUCACUAAUGAUAAGUAUGUGCAAUGUAAUGGAAUGCAAUGUCAAGUAUAAUGAUGCAUGUCUGACCUAGUGAUACACACCCGAUGUCUCUCAGUCCGGGACCCAUGGGGGACAUAUCUGUCCAUGCAUCUGUCGUGGCGCACGACACGACCCUCGAUAACAGUAACCAUCGCGGCGUGCGAUACGUCCCUCGAAAUAUAGUAUCCAUCGUGGUGCGCGAUACGUCCCUCGAAAUAUAGUAUCCAUCGCGGCGCGCGAUACGUCCCUCGAAAUGGUACAUCCUCUUUAAGUUAUCAUUCUUUCUCAAUGCACAUAACACUUUCACAACAAUGUCUCAGAAUAAUGCAAUGACAUGUCCACACAAAUAAUGAGGAGAUGACCAUUUUCAUAACAUUGCACAGUUCACAACCACACAAACAUGAAAUCACAUCAACAAUGAUUCAACAAGCCAUCAAACUUUUCUCAACACAUCACACAUAGAUAAUUAAUCACAUCGCCUUUUGUUAUCCCUUUUAUUUCAUCAUUAGAAUUAAUCAAUGUGGACAAGUCAACCCAUCACCAAUCCCGUUACUCCCAAACAUAUAUCACAAGGAAAUACACGCAUUCCAUACACUUAACAAGAGUUUAGAAAUCCACUUGCCUCAAUUAGUCAAACGAUCACUCCGGGGACUUGAGCCUUUCCUUUUCGUUAAACUUCCAACUCAAAGCAAUCUAUUCAAAUAUAUAUUCACAAUAAGGUUUCAUAACUAACAACACUUAUAUUAUUAUAUGUUUAACCUUGACCUAAAAACUCACUUAAAUUUAUAAUCAAGUUCGUAAAUCUUGAUACCAAUUAACAUGUUUGCUCUUUUAAUCUCCUUCAAAUUCCAAGUCUAGUUAAGUCAUAUCUUCUCCAAACACUACUACCCUAAUAGUUUCAAAAAAUAUAAUACACUCAACAUUCAAUUUUAUAUAUGUAUACCAAUAUAUAAGGGAUAACUCAAGUAUAAAGGGUCAUGAAUUCCGAUGAAUUUAACGUGCAAACUUAUAGAUAAUUUACUUUAUUUUUCCUUUUGUUGUUUUCUUGGACAAUUACCUUCAUUCUUUAAAAACAAGGAUUUAAUUUAUAACUGUAAAACAAUAAGAAAAUCAUGAAAUUUGUUUCACUUAGCAUUACACGUAUACAAAGCAACAUGAAAUAAAAUGUCAAACUUUUCCAGGCAUAGUAAUUAACUAAUCUGUAGGUUAACAUUAAUUCACAAUCAUCUAUUUUCCCACUAAAUCUUGAAUAAAAGAAACUUCCAACAAUAAUUAAAAAAAUUCUAUCUUAGAAAUCUAUAUUCAUUCAAUUCGAAUGAUUACCUUAAUUGCACAGGUGACUCUCAAAAUAUCGUUAUCGCUGCCCUUGCUACGGCCGAGAGUUCUCCUCAAGUUCCUUUUUGUUUGUCUCUCAAUUUAUUAUAUUUUAAAUUGGCAAACCCUACUACUACUUAUUUUAAUAUAAAUGGGUCAAGUAGUAUAGGUCAUUAAAUAAAUUAGGGACUUAGUUCAUUAGUCACAAAUUAACUUAAUUAUUCAAAAAUAACCACCAAUUAAUUCACUCUAGUUAGAUGAAUGUUCAAUUUUUUUUUUUAAAAAAACUUCUGGGUUAUUACAUUAUCCACCACUAAAAACAUGUUCGUCCUCGAACAUAAAGAAGAAAAAGGAAGAAUAACCAACAUUACCAUAAGUCUAAAUUAUGACCUACCAGUCAAUGUUCGUCUCUCUAGGUGAGCUAAUUCUUAAGACCAUUCCCUCACGAUCAACUACUAAGAAAUGAACAUUCAAAUUAAACUUUGGGAGAUCUAUAUAUCAAGAGUGAUUAUCAAUACACAAACUAACAAUGAACUCAAUCUAAAUUGAAACCUACUAGACCCUAACACAACCAUUAGGAUAAAUGUUUUCCCACAUAUAUUCUGAAUCGAUACCAACUACUACUAGAAGUGAACUAUAGCCAACAACCACACUCAUAACGCACAAACCAUCACCGAUUAUAUCAAGAUUUCCUUUCCAUAACACAAUCUCGUCACAAGCUUAAGUAAAAAAAAAUUAUCUUUAGACAUCGAUUAAUCAUCAAGAGAGGAUCAACAUAUCCAAACCAAAGAAGAACAAUAUCAAGUAAACACCAACAAAGGAUACACUUCAAAAUGCUGAACCUCUAGCAAUACUCAUAGACAAUUGUAACUAUUCAUAGUAGCUCUUAUAUAAGUUCUUAUACGCAAGAUUGUGCAGGUAGAAUCACUAGUAUACUACAACUAUCCCAAACAACACCAAAUCUUCUAUAACUAAAAUUAACAAGUUUAACCAAGGAUGCCACCCUACCAAGAGAAAAUCACAGGAUCGGUACACCCGAUCCACCACUAGGAACUCAUCCAUGGAUGUAAAAAAAACGUGGGCAUAUGCAAUGAAUCAUACUCCAAAUCAUGUCCGAAACGAAGUAGGUGGUCAACUUAAGAAUAUACGGAAUCAAGGUCGAAUAACACUAGAUACUUUCUCCAUAACUCGCAUAUCAAUAUUUUCAUUCAUCUGACUACAUCCCUCAAUUUAUUUAUUUUUUAAAAGUUUUUUCCACCCAAAAUCAACCAGUCUGAUCUCCAUUACAAUUUUACACAUGUUGGAUUUGCCAAACCCUGCAUACUUCUCACAGUACUCAAUCAAAGCCAACACUAUUAAUAUUAACAAAUAUCAUAACCACACCAACCAUUUACCUUACUUUCACACAGUCAUUAGUAUCACAUCCUCCUUAGCAAGCACAUUGUAGUCUCCAAGACUUUGAACCAUGGUUUCUUAUCUUUUCAUUUAGCGUCCCAUAAUAGAUGUAAGUCACACUUAAUGUCAACUUCACCUAAACUUUCACAUACCAUUUUCAACCACCAUCAUUUACCUCAUGCAAUAACUCCAAGAAACCCUUGAUCACUCCAAUAUUUAUGUAUACAAUAAUCUCAUAACCUCUACUCAUCAUCAUAUGACUAUGUAACACAUUAUAACAAUCUAUCUUGUCUCAUCAACAUAGUACUUUAAUCUCCCCCAAUCCUCAUUAACCAUGUAAAAUUGUAGGUCCACACUAUUUAACAUCCAUUUGUUACCUAUCACAUUCUGAACAAUCUACCUCGACAUAACCAUAUAUAAUCUUCCACACGUCGUUUAUUGUAACCCAACCAAAACUUAAUAUUUAGAAAAGUUAAUAAUAAGCCCAUAGUCACAUCUCAUAGUCAUAUCUAAACUCAAAGGCGAAAUCACUAUAACCAUCACCUCCGAAUACAGUGUUUGUACGAGAGGUUUUAUUGUUCCUUUGCCUUUCUUAAAAUCUUCCCAUGACGAAAAUUUCAAAUAACUUUAACUCUUCAAUACACCAUAAUUUUUUUUUUCUUUUUUGCUAACUCAUUUACUAGUCUUAUAUUUUUGACCAGCAAUAUGGGAAACCUUAGGUAUAACAAUCAAAAGUAACCAAAUGUACUACUCAAAUUUUAAGUCCUCCUAUAUGCUUAAUACUCAAUGUGAUAAAUCAUUUCUUACCUUACCAAUUCAUUCCUUGACAAGAUACACUAUCAAAAAUCUAAACUCACCAUGUAAACUUGAUGUUUUGAUCCCAACCAUGUAAUACAAUUCCAUUGUCUAUCAAUAUUAGCUCACAUCUGAAAUUUUAUAAAUUUAUGAUCAUAGCUUACCAUAUAUCGCCUCUCUAGCGACCUUAUAAUAUCCUUUGCUUAAAAAUCCAAUGGUACCCGUUACCAAAUUCGAAACUAUAAAAGAACUUAUCACCACACUCGAGUCGAACUGUGUAGGAUUCUUUCUCAAUUCUUACCCAAUAUCUAUAUUAUUAUUUAUUAUUUUUUAUCAAUCUAAUGAACGUAUGACACUAUUACCAUAAUCAAAAUGAAACAGAUGAAAUCGCGUAUCCUUGAACUAAAUUCUCAACUCUCUAAAGAUAUUAUCUUUGUCCUUUAUAAUUAUAGUAAAUAUCCUUUUUCUCAAUUGUCUCUUUCCAAUGACUAAAAUACUUUCCACUAAUUCUUUUCCAUUUAUGACUCUAGCUUCUUUCAAUUCUUUUCAAGCGAAAUUUUCAACACAUCAUACAACUUUUCAUACAACUACAUUGUUCAUCAAAUAGUGAAAAACCACAACCUGAACAUAUCAAUAUCAUACCAAAGAUCCACCACUAAAAGCUUCCUUAUAAAUAAUGCUUAACAUAUCCAUCCGUAUUAACAAGCUAGUUGGUUUCUCAAAUAUGAAUUCAACACCACAUCUUACCAUAUGAGCAUGUAAUACAAUAUAUAACUCCUUAAGUAGUUAGUAUUUACACUUAACAUCAACGUGUUCAUUUUCAUAUACCACUAGCACCACAUUGUGAAGACUUUUAAAUCCACCACUAGAACACAUCAUACCUAUAGAGAAGAUCAUAUCCAAACAGGUCACACAUUUCUACCAUCAAAUAGAUGUUAAGUAUUAUCAUAGUUCCAUAUCUAGCCCAAGCUAUAUGAAUCCUUUCAUAGUUCAGGUCAAUAUCAAAAGUAGCACACUCCAUAACUCCAACCAAGUAAGCAUCGAUACUACUAUAGUAGAAAUUCUAACCUUAAUUGGUGCAUCAUUUUCUAAGAAUUCCAUUCAUGUUAUGAUAACUUUACUGAUUAUAGUUUCCAAAGUUACAACUCAAUUAUCUAGUCAUCCCUUUAAUCACCCCACUUCCAAUUGUUAACCAUCUAAUAUCGUAUAUACCACACAAGUACUAAUCACUUUACUAGGAUAACAAAACUUACAUAGCCCCUUAAUUUUUUUAAUUUUUUUUUAAAUUUUUUUUAAUAUUCAAAAUAUAACCACAAAUCCUUUUCAUAAGUAUAUCACUUCCACUUUAAUACCAUAUCUAACAUCAAACCAAUACACGACAUGCCAAUGAUUCACAAAGGGAACUACGCACGAGUCAUCACAUAAAUGAGAGCGAAUGGAGUGAAGCGAUAAGAAUCAAAAUGGGACCAAGUACGCACAAUAGAAUCCAAGAAGUGAAAAUAUUUUCCUAGAAGUCAUUACAGCCUCUCGAAGAUAGGUACAGACGUCUCCGUACCGAUCAUCCAGACUCUAUUUAGACUCGACUUGUACACACGUGAGACCUAUGAACCUGGGCUCUGAUACCAUUUUGUCACGACCCAAAAAUGGGCGUGAUGACACUCGUCUUAUCCCACCAAGACAAGUCAGCCUAAAACUCAACCAUUACAAUAAAGUGCGGAAUCAAAAUAUAAGUAACUUAAUAAAACCCCCAAAACCUGGUAGUCACGUGUACAAGCCUCUAAGGUAUUACAAUUGAUUCAAAAGAAAAACUCAAGUCUCUAAUGAACUUGUUUCUAGAAUAGAACAAGAUCAUAAUUAAGGAGAAGAAAGUCUGCUGCGAUGGAAACAGCUACCUGACCAAUCUCCAAGAAGCCUCGGAAAAGAAGAGAAUGACAAGUACAACAAAAAUUCAGGCUCAUAACCUACAAAAAUUUGUAGAAGCAAGGGGUGAGUACCAAACCACACGGUACUCAGCAAGUAAACGGCUAAACACAAGCUAAGGGGAUGAAAUACGGGUACUCCAACCACCCCAACCGAACCUCCAUAACUACAACCUGCAUAAACAUCAACCCAACCUAACAACUCACAGUUUACAUAGAACGAAACUCAACAAAAACAUAUAGACAAAUUACAUAUCCUCCACAACAACACUUUAACAAAUUACAUAUCCUCCACAACAACACUUUAACAAAUUAUAUAUCCUCAAUAACAAGCUCAGUAUUCAACAAUCACAAGUUCCGCAAAAAGGCAAUCACUAGAUCAGCAAAACACAAUAUCAAGUUCACUAAUGAUAAGUAUGUGCAAUGUAAUGGAAUGCAAUGUCAAGUAUAAUGAUGCAUGUCUGACCUAGUGAUACACACCCGCUGUCUCUCAGUCCGGGACCCAUGGGGGACAUAUCUGUCCAUGCAUCUGUCGCGGCGCACGACACGACCCUCGAUAACAGUAACCAUCGCGGCGUGCGAUACGUCCCU
Molecule: long non-coding RNA, 6437 nt
Filed under: Solanum lycopersicum (tomato)
Lineage: Eukaryota; Viridiplantae; Streptophyta; Magnoliopsida; Solanales; Solanaceae
Description: long non-coding RNA (SLYC_LNC001374)
Source: RNAcentral